GGGGAUUUAGCUCAGUGGUAGAGCGCUUGCCUAGCUAACGCAAGGCCCUGGGUUCAGUCCCCA
RNAcentral lists this transfer RNA (63 nucleotides) under Rattus norvegicus (Norway rat). It matches the Rfam family "tRNA". From Rfam's summary of the family: Transfer RNA (tRNA) molecules are approximately 80 nucleotides in length. Their secondary structure includes four short double-helical elements and three loops (D, anti-codon, and T loops). Lineage: Eukaryota; Metazoa; Chordata; Mammalia; Rodentia; Muridae. The record is from Rfam by way of RNAcentral.